RNAcentral lists this non-coding RNA (109 nucleotides) under unclassified sequences. RNAcentral describes it as "eL15-Euryarchaeota ribosomal protein leader". It matches the Rfam family "eL15-Euryarchaeota ribosomal protein leader". The record is from RNAcentral.
CCUGCCGCGUCGCGUUUCGAGGGGACGCCCCUCGCGCGAUCCACAGGACGGGAUGUGAACCGCGCUCUCGGUUCGGAGGUCGGAGACCUCCCGCGGUUUGAACCACUCG